Molecule: ribosomal RNA, 199 nt
Filed under: uncultured bacterium
Lineage: Bacteria
Description: partial 16S ribosomal RNA
Rfam family: Bacterial small subunit ribosomal RNA
Source: RNAcentral
ACGCUCGACACCUACGGGAGGCAGCAGUGGGGAAUAUUGCACAAUGGGGGAAACCCUGAUGCAGCGACGCCGCGUGAAGGAAGAAGUAUUUCGGUAUGUAAACUUCUAUCAGCAGGGAAGAAAAUGACGGUACCUGAGUAAGAAGCACCGGCUAAAUACGUGCCAGUAGCCGCGGUAAUCUGAGGCGGGCUGGCAAGGC